Molecule: long non-coding RNA, 675 nt
Organism: Cannabis sativa
Lineage: Eukaryota; Viridiplantae; Streptophyta; Magnoliopsida; Rosales; Cannabaceae
Exons: 3
Source: RefSeq, a predicted model, not a curated record
AAAUUAAAAAACAGAUUAUAUUGAAUUUUAAAAACAGUUUUUACAUGAUUUUAAAAAAUUUUAAAAACACUUUUAUCUUGGUUUUCUCUCUCUCUCUCUCUCGUUACAGUCACCUUCAUCAGAGGAGAGCUUCAUUUCCAUGGCUUCAAAGGCAGAAGAUUGAAGUACCCACUUCAGGCACCUUGCUGGGUUCUCGGCACCUGCUUCAUCUUCCUCCUCUUGGCAUCACAGAUGACAGGAACAGAUAGUGAGGUGGUUAUUAUUGAUAAUAGCGAAGCUUCUGUUUGGCCUGAAAAACAUGAAGAAAUUUUUAUUGAACUUAUGGAAGAAGAAGUUUUGAAGGGAAAUAGAAAUACUACAACCUUUACAAAGCAAUCAUGGAAGCGUAUAAAGGAGGAGCUUUAUGCACAAGCGAAGAGAAGUUACACUGAUACACAAUUAAGGAACAAAUACAAUCUGUUAAGACAAAAGCACAAGGAUUUCAAGUCUUUAAGCAUAAUGAGUGAAGAUUAUUAACAAUUAGAACUUUUUUAAUAGUUUUCUUCAAGAUUAGACAAUUAUUAGUUCAUAUUUUAUUAUGAAUUUGUCGGUUUUGUGUUAUAGAUAAUGUGUUUCGUGAUUUUAAAUUACUUGAAUUUUUUAAAAUAUUAAUGAGUAUUUUUUAUUUGAUUUUUU